This 380-nucleotide ribosomal RNA is filed under the name uncultured bacterium. Its description in RNAcentral is "bacterial SSU rRNA". It matches the Rfam family "Bacterial small subunit ribosomal RNA", at positions 31 to 412 of the family's 1533-position model. The record is from RNAcentral.
GAACGCUGGCGGCGUGCUUAACACAUGCAAGUCGAGCGGUAAGGCCCUUUCGGGGGUACACGAGCGGCGAACGGGUGAGUAACACGUGGGUGACCUGCCCUCAGCUCUGGGAUAAGCCUGGGAAACCGGGUCUAAUACUGGAUAUGACUCCAUGACGCAUGUUGUGGGGUGGAAAGCCUUGUGCGGCUGAGGAUGGGCCCGCGGCCUAUCAGCUUGUUGGUGGGGUGAUGGCCACCAAGGCGACGACGGGUAGCCGGCCUGAGAGGGCGACCGGCCACACUGGGACUGAGACACGGCCCAGACUCCUACGGGAGGCAGCAGUGGGGAAUCGUUGCGCAAUGGGCGAAAGCCUGACGCAGCGACGCCGCGUGAGGGAUGAC